Molecule: long non-coding RNA, 1151 nt
Organism: Arabidopsis lyrata subsp. lyrata
Lineage: Eukaryota; Viridiplantae; Streptophyta; Magnoliopsida; Brassicales; Brassicaceae
Exons: 6
Source: RefSeq, a predicted model, not a curated record
UGAAGAUGAAGGGAAAAGAUAUCAUGAAGAAGACGACGAGAGUGCCAUGCAAUUCCUGCGAAUUCUCCAGCAGCAGAUACGGAUUUGAACAAAGUCUACAGGAUCAAGACAAUGAAGAAACAGUGCUGCGGAAAGAAGUCAUGAGAUUACGAUCCCUGAUCAGGAGGAUGACUGGUAGAGACGACGAUGCGAGCUUCACUGAGCUGCAAGCACUUACAAGUCAUCUCGGGAAUGUCAAACGCAUUGUCAUGGACCAAAUAGUGAGGAAACUUCUUCAUUCAGGGACUUCCUUCUCCUAUUAUUGAAAAAAUUUUGUUUGACUAUUAUUCCAGAAUAAGAUAAUGCCACCAGACCAAGUUGAAAGCAAACAGAAGAAGAAUAAAGCUGAGGAUGUUGCUACGAGUAUUCCGGUUCCCUCUACUAGCAGGUAAAACGAAAAAAUAGAGGGUUUUCUUUUGUUGAAUUAGUGCUUGUGUAAAUCAGAUAUGAAACUUCGACUUGUAAACCAAAAUCAGGUUUUAUGAGAGAUCACUUUUUUGCUCUACCUGUCUUGCUGCAGUUGCUUUUUUUUUUUUUGUAUCACUAUACCAAUUUGAACUUUCUCUUGUGUAUAUAACCCUGAACAAAGACGGGAGAAACACUGCUGAAAAUGGAGAGGGAAUUCGAGAGACGAAAAUCUGAAUCCUUGCAGAGGAGUUCGAGAGAUUAAGGAUUUACAACGAGAGAAUGAACGGUAGAGGUAUUGAGAGUAUGAGCUGCUACCAUGACGUGGUCCAGCUUGAUUCUCAGAUAACUUACGCUUUGAUGAGUUUAUCGGAGCAAAUGAGAAGACCACUAGAGGAACAACUUUGCAAGGCAGAGCAGGGCAAGCAUGUAGUGAAGAUUUAUGGUAAGCCUAUUACUGAUGAGAACAAGGAACUGAGGAGAUCUGUUCGUUUGGCCAAGAAAAAGGAAUGAGGAGAAAGUCUCUCACUAAGUGGCUUGGGAGCUUCUAUCUUGACAUAGAGUCUUCUAUUUGCUUAUUAUGGAGUUGAUGUCGUUUUUAUGUUAACAUUAGACCAACUUUAGGUUUGAGUAUCUUUAUGACAUUAAUAUCAAAUCUCUCAUUUCUCGCCUCUUUAAAUAAAUGUCAUGGAUGUGUGUAGAAUCUA